This is a long non-coding RNA of Rhinolophus ferrumequinum (greater horseshoe bat), 1578 nucleotides long. RefSeq lists it as uncharacterized. The transcript is spliced from 4 exons. The record is from RefSeq and is a predicted model, not a curated record. Lineage: Eukaryota; Metazoa; Chordata; Mammalia; Chiroptera; Rhinolophidae.
CGUGGGUGGGGAGGGAGGGCUAGGAGGAGCCUUAAAGGAGCCACUGCACAGGCCUCUGGCCAUUUUCCCCCGAGAGCGGCCUUGGAGAUGGCAGUGGCUCCCCUAAGCUGGGCGCUGUGGGGGCGAAUCCUGCCAUUCCUAGCUUCAGCUCAUCGGGGAACCGAAGGUGAAGCACGCCUGGGUCCGGGUGUGGGUCUCCAUCCCCCACUGUUUUAGGCCUCCGGGAGGUUUGAGCCGGUGUGCCACCUCCAGGGCCGACUCCACCUUGACGAUGCAGAUGUCAGACACAUCCUCGUCCUCAUCCUCAUCCUCUUCCUCCGCCUUCAGCUCCAGGUCCUCAUCCAGUGGGAACUCCAGCUUCACAGGCCGCAGCAGCGGAGGAGCUUGAUGGAGAUACCUCUUACCGGCCUCAGAGAUGUGACAUAUUCCGCUAUCUUGUUACGGAGCUUCUUCCUGGGAAUAAUGGUGAUCUCCUCGCACACGCACUUGUUGGUGUAGAAGUCGUCACCCAGCGUGUCUGAUUCUGAGCCACCGGGUCUGAAUGGGACCUGAAGGCCCAUUCCUAGGAGCUUUGGGCGAUGCCACUGCUGUCAGCCUGUGGACUGCACUUUGAGUAGAAGCAUCCGUAUAUCCCUCAGAGUGGGCCUGCCGGGUGGCGGGGUCUGCACACGGUCCCCUCCCCUGACCAAUGAUAAAGCAUUCUCGGAAGCAGUUGUACAGGUUUACACUCCUACCAUCGGUAGGACUGCUGCCGCCUGCGGAAAGGCCAGUAAAGGCUUCCUGGUUUUCAGUCGUCACCUCACUUGAGCUUUCUGCAGCCUGCGACACACUGGAUCACGCUUAUUUGACACACUGCUUUAUCCUGGUUUCUGUGACACCUCUUCCUUCUGUUCCCUUCCUUCUCCAACCUCAAUCUCUUAUAACCCCCCAUUCUCUGCCUUUUGUCCAUCUUUUAACUGUUGGUGUCCUUGCCCUUCUUGGCCUUUAUCACGUUCUCCCUGGGUGAUACCAUGUGCUUGCUCUUAAGAGGUUGGGUACCACCUUGUGACUAUGAUGGUUAAUUUUAUGCGUCAAGUUGGGUAGGCGGUGGUGCCCAGUUGUUUAGUCAAGCACUAGUCCAGGUGUUUCUGUGAAGGUAUUUUGUAGCUAUGAUUAACAUUACACUCAGUUGACUCUAAGUAAAGGAGAUUACUCUUGAUAAUGUGGAUGGUCCUCAUCUAAUCAGUUGAAGGCCUUAAGAGCCAAAACUGAGGUUUCCCAAAAGAUUUCUGCCUUAAGACUGUAACAGAAAUCUUGCCUCAGUUUCCAGCCUGCCAGCCUGCUCUACAAAUUCACACUCAAGACUAUGACAUCAACCCUUCCCUGAGUUUCCAGCCUGUUGGCUUGCCCUAUGGACUUUGGACUCACCAGCCCCUACAAUUGCAUGAGCCCAUUCCUUAAAAUAAAUCUCUUUAUAUACAGGCGCACCUUGCAGACAUUGUGGGUUCGGGUCCAGACCCCCACAAUAAAGUGAAUAUCGUAAUACAGUGAGUCACAAAAAAUAUUUGGUUUCCCAGUGCAUAUAAAAGUUAUGUUACA